UGGGGAAUAUUGGCACAAUGGGCGCAAGCCUGAUGCAGCCAUGCCGCGUGUGUGAAGAAGGCCUUCGGGUUGUAAAGCACUUUCAGCGAGGAGGAAGGUGGUGAACUUAAUACGUUCAUCAAUUGACGUUACUCGCAGAAGAAGCACCGGCUAACUCCGUGCCAGCAGCCGCGGUAAUACGGAGGGUGCAAGCGUUAAUCGGAAUUACUGGGCGUAAAGCGCACGCAGGCGGUUUGUUAAGUCAGAUGUGAAAUCCCCGGGCUCAACCUGGGAACUGCAUUUGAAACUGGCAAGCUAGAGUCUCGUAGAGGGGGGUAGAAUUCCAGGUGUAGCGGUGAAAUGCGUAGAGAUCUGGAGGAAUACCGGUGGCGAAGGCAGCCCCCCUGGGCCAAUAUGACGCUCAUGCACGAAAAGCGU
Molecule: ribosomal RNA, 417 nt
Filed under: uncultured bacterium
Lineage: Bacteria
Description: partial 16S ribosomal RNA
Rfam family: Bacterial small subunit ribosomal RNA
Source: RNAcentral